UAUGUGAUCGUCUCUCGCAUAUCAAUAAGCGGAGGAAAAGAAACUAACAAGGAUUCCCCUAGUAACGGCGAGUGAAGCGGGAAGAGCUCAAAUUUGAAAUCUUAAAGGGUUUCCCUUUACGAAUUGUAGUUUAAAGAAGUGUUUUCUGUUGAGGUUUUGGUAAAAGUUCUUUGGAAUAGGACAUCAUAGAGGGUGAGAAUCCCGUAUUUGGCCUUUACUUUCAACUUUGUGAUACACUUUCAAAGAGUCGGAUUGUUUGGGAAUGCAGUCCAAAAUGGGUGGUAAAUUUCAUCUAAAGCUGAAUAUUGGCGAGAGACCGAUAGCGAACAAGUACCGUGAGGGAAAGAUGAAAAGAACUUUGAAAAGAGAGUUAAACAGUACGUGAAAUUGUCAAAAGGGAAGCGUUUGACACCAGUGUUGUUUUUCUGAAAAUCAAUUAAAGAACUGUUUAUGCUAAGCUGUUUAGACUUUAUCAGCUAAUCUGUUUAGUUUUGAGCUUUUCUUUAAUGCACUUUUCAGUUAACAAGUCAACAUCAAUUUCUUUUGCUGUAAAAAAGCUUGAGGAAGGUGGCUUGAGAUUCGUCUUAAGUGUUUAUAGCCUCUUGCCUAUGCAGUCGGAGAGAUUGAGGUCUGCAGCGUAGAUCCUUCGGGGCUAAAUGCAUUUGUGCUAAGUUAUAGCAUUUUAUAGACAACUUGUUGACUAUGAUUUGUCUUGUAACUUACUCGCUUAUGUUAUUUUACCUACGCUUAGGAUGUUGACACACGCGCGUGCUCG
This 775-nucleotide ribosomal RNA is filed under the name uncultured Neocallimastigales. RNAcentral's name for it is "partial large subunit ribosomal RNA". It matches the Rfam family "Eukaryotic large subunit ribosomal RNA", at positions 24 to 643 of the family's 3401-position model. The record is from RNAcentral. Lineage: Eukaryota; Fungi; Neocallimastigomycota; Neocallimastigomycetes; Neocallimastigales.